Lathyrus oleraceus (garden pea) is the source of this 1155-nucleotide long non-coding RNA. RefSeq lists it as uncharacterized. Lineage: Eukaryota; Viridiplantae; Streptophyta; Magnoliopsida; Fabales; Fabaceae. The transcript is spliced from 3 exons. The record is from RefSeq and is a predicted model, not a curated record.
UCAAUAACCUCACCAUAAAUAUUCUCAGGCCCAUUAGAGCCACAUUCACUAACCCCGACCUUCCAUCAAACAUUUUUACCCUGAGCUCCACAACCACUACACCUUCUAUCACUACCAUGAUCAACACUAACACUAGUUGUUAUGGAGCAAAUAACUAUCCUAUGAUAUAUAAUUUCCCCAAACCCUUUGAAUAACAACAGAUCCAACAAAAGCAAAACAAUCAACUAUCUUCUCUCAAACCUGUCGCUUGCAUUGAAAUCACAAUAGCUUAUUUUGAUCUUGCGUACAACCAUCCAUCAACUUUGAAACAAUAUGCAAGAGUGUGCGAUCAACUACCAAAUCUACAACCUAAAUUAGUUAUAAGGUUUUACCAAAUACAAACCCACAAGGAGAGUUAUGUAAAAAUAGGAAAAGAAAGUUUGAUACUCAGAAGAUAGUAGAAUGACAUAUGAGUGUAGAGAAGUUGGGUGAAGAUCCAUGGUAAUGAAGAAAAUAUGGACAAAAACCCAUUAAAGGAUCUCAACAUCCAAGGUUUUUUAUAUUCGGGGACUACUACAUGUAAAACUUUCAAAGAUUGUUUGGCAAAAACACAAGUAGAAAAAAACAAAACAAAGAAAAUAUUUAUAUUGUGACAUAUAUAGGAGAGCACAACCAUCCAAAACGCAUUGUGAAUUUGUCUCCUCAUAACAAGUCAUCAAAGAAGAGAUUAUUCAGUGUCAAAAAAUAUGGGUUUUUGCCAAAUAUUAGAAACUCUGGUUCUCCGAGUACAAUGAUGUCAUAGUUUGAUCAGCCAGAAUGCAACAAUUUUCAUGUUCAUCAAUGUUAAUGAAAAGUCAAUUAUAAAAAGGUUGACUUAUAAAGAGUUGUUCACCUACUGCUAGAGAAGCCAAAUCAUAACCACACCUCGGAGACUUAGUUUCACCUAAAUUUACAAUGCUACAAUUUGAUUAACAUUAGAAAGACAAUUCCGUGAUGACAAAGGUGAUAUUUUGAUUAUCAACAUAAGAGCUAUUAGUUGGUCGGGUCUAAUCUAAAGAGAUUGUCCUAAUUAAGUAGUUCUUGUUUAGAAUUGGCCCCUAAAUAAUAUUGAUUUGAUGAUUUUUUCUAAUGAAUAUAAUAUUACAAAAAAUAAUAAUUAUUAAUUUCUCGCUUUUA